RNAcentral lists this ribosomal RNA (1501 nucleotides) under uncultured Bordetella sp. RNAcentral describes it as "partial 16S-23S ribosomal RNA intergenic spacer". It matches the Rfam family "Bacterial small subunit ribosomal RNA". The record is from RNAcentral. Lineage: Bacteria; Pseudomonadati; Pseudomonadota; Betaproteobacteria; Burkholderiales; Alcaligenaceae.
AGUUCGAUCCUGGCUCAGAUUGAACGCUGGCAGGAUGCUUUACACAUGCAAGUCGAACGGCAGCACGGACUUCGGUCUGGUGGCGAAAGGUGGCGAACAGGUGAGUAAUGUAUCGGAACGUGCCUAGUAGCGGGGGAUAACUACGCGAAAGCGUAGCUAAUACCGCAUACGCCCUUCGGGGAAAGCAGGGGACCUUCGGGCCUCGCACUAUUAGAGCGGCCGAUAUCGGAUUAGCUAGUUGGUGGGGUAACGGCUCACAAGGCGACGAUCCGUAGCUGGUUUGAGAGGACGACCAGCCACACUGGGACUGGGAACUGGCCCCCGGGCUCACCACGGGAGGCAGCAGUGGAGGAAUUUUGGACAAUGGGGAAACCCUGAUCCAGCCAUCCCGCGUGUGUGAUGAAGGCCUUCGGGUUGUAAAAAGCACUUUUGGCAGGAAAGAAACGGCACGGGAUAAUACCCCGUGCAACUGACGGUACCUGCAGAAUAAGCACCGGCUAACUACGUGCCAGCAGCCGCCGCGGUAAUACGUAGGGUGCAAGCGUUAAUCGGAAUUACUGGGCAGCAAGCGUGCGCAGGCAGUUCGGAAAAGAAAGAUGUGAAAUCCCAGAGCUUAACUUUUGGAACUGCAUUUUUAACUACCGAGCUAGAGUGUGUCAGAGAGUGGAAUUCCGCGAUAACGAUGGAAAUGCGUAGAUAUGCGGAGGAACACCGAUGGCGAAGGCAGCCUCCUGGGAUAGCUUGCUGACGCUCAUGCACGAAAGCGUGGGGAGCAAACAGGAUUAGAUACCCUGGUAGUCCACGCCUAAGCGAUGUCAACUAGCUGUUGGGUGCUUCAGGCCUUAGUAGCGCAGCUAACGCGUGAAGGUGACCGCACAAGUACGGUCGCAAGAUUAAAACUCAAAGGAAUUGACGGGGACCACUGGCUUGAUGGAUGAUGGUUAAUUCGAUGCAACGCGAAAACCCAGCACCUACCCAUAACGUGUCUGGAGUCCCGAAGAUUUUACGGAGUGCUCGCAAGAGAGCAGAACACGGGUACUGCAUGGCUAUCGUCAGCUCGUGUCGUGAGAUGUUGGGUUAAGUCCGCAACAGCGAGCGCAACCCUUGUCAUUGGUUACUACGAAAAGGCACUCGUGAGACUGCCGGUGACAAACCGGAGGAAGGUGGGGAUGACGUCAAGUCCUCAUGGCCCAUAUGGGUAGGGCUUCACACGUCAUACAAUGGUCAGGCAGAGGUCGCCAGCCCGCGAGAGGGAGCCAAUCCCAGAAACCCGAUCGUAGUCCGGAUCGCAGUCUGCAACUCGACUGCGUGAAGUCCAGGUCGCGUGUAAUCGCGGAUCGGCAUGUCGCGGUGAAUACGUCCAGGUCUGCCACCGCCCGUCACCAUGCGAGUGGUUUUACCAGAAGCCAGUUAGCUAACCGUAAGGAGGGCGAAUUCACCACGGUAAGUUCAUAUGACUGGGGUAAGUCAGCAACUCGGUGGCCCUAUUACUACGAUGCCA